Molecule: ribosomal RNA, 465 nt
Filed under: uncultured bacterium
Lineage: Bacteria
Description: partial 16S ribosomal RNA
Rfam family: Bacterial small subunit ribosomal RNA
Source: RNAcentral
GACGAACGCUGGCGGCGUGCUUAACACAUGCAAGUCGUACGGUAAGGCCCUUUCGGGGGUACACGAGUGGCGAACGGGUGAGUAACACGUGAGUAACCUGCCCACAACUUUGGGAUAACGCUAGGAAACUGGUGCUAAUACUGGAUAUGUGCCCCUGCUGCAUGGUGGGGGUUGGAAAGCUCCGGCGGUUGUGGAUAGACUCGCGGCCUAUCAGCUUGUUGGUGGGGUAGUGGCCUACCAAGGCGGCGACGGGUAGCCGGCCUGAGAGGGUGACCGGCCACAUUGGGACUGAGAUACGGCCCAGACUCCUACGGGAGGCAGCAGUGGGGAAUAUUGCACAAUGGGCGCAAGCCUGAUGCAGCAACGCCGCGUGCGGGAUGACGGCCUUCGGGUUGUAAACCGCUUUCAGCAGGGACGAAGCUUUUUGUGACGGUACCUGCAGAAGAAGCACCGGCUAACUACGUG